RNAcentral lists this ribosomal RNA (253 nucleotides) under uncultured bacterium. Its description in RNAcentral is "partial 16S ribosomal RNA". It matches the Rfam family "Bacterial small subunit ribosomal RNA", at positions 524 to 776 of the family's 1533-position model. The record is from RNAcentral.
UACGUAGGGUGCAAGCGUUGUCCGGAAUUAUUGGGCGUAAAGAGCUCGUAGGCGGUUCGUCGCGUCGGCUGUGAAAUCCCGGAGCUCAACUCCGGGUCUGCAGUCGAUACGGGCGGACUUGAGUUCGGCAGGGGAGACUGGAAUUCCCGGUGUAGUGGUGAAAUGCGUAGAGAUCGGGAGGAACACCAGUGGCGAAGGCGGCUCGCUGGGCCGGACCUGACGCUGAGGCGCGAAGGCGUGGGGAGCGAACGGG